RNAcentral lists this non-coding RNA (161 nucleotides) under uncultured Blautia sp. Lineage: Bacteria; Bacillati; Bacillota; Clostridia; Lachnospirales; Lachnospiraceae. The record is from RNAcentral.
GCAGGUGCUGAUUUUUAGUUAAAAGUGAAACAGGUGAGAAUCCUGUACGAUCUCGUCACUGUAUUUGGGGAGUGGUGAUCUAGGUGCAGAUCACAGCCACUGGGAAACCGGGAAGGCAGAUUACUACUGUGAACCAUAAGCCAGGAAACCUGCCUGUUGUC